AGUUAGAAUCUUUAUGGGAGUUUUUGAACUCUCACAGAGAUGUGGCUGUAGGAUACAAUAAAACGGCGCAGGCUCGAGAGUAUUCUAAGCGGAUGUGGACAACUGUGUCUCAAACUUUAAACUCUUUGGGAGAAGGAGCUACAAAGGACUGGAAAAGUUGGUCUAAUUAUUGGGUAGACUACAAAGCGAAAUUAAAAAGAAGAGUAGCAAGCAUCCGUGCUGCUCAAAAUCGCACCGGCGGUGGCCCUUCUGAAGCCAUUCCCCUAAAUGAUUUAGAGAAGAAAUUCCUAAGUCUACUUGGAGAAGGCUUUGGAAGUGGGAUACCUAAUACCCAAGUAGACCCAUUUCCAAUUCAAACUCAGUCCGAACAUACUGCACCUGAGGCUGGAACAUCUAACUCAGAAGCUCCUCUAGUUCUUGAACACCCUCUCACCCAUGAGAGUGUUCAACUAGAGGGAGAGGAAGAGCCAGCACUGCAAGACUCUGUACUAGAGCAGCCGCAGGUGCAACAGGAAGUGGCCCCACAGCAGCAACAACAGCCUUAGGAAACACG
Long non-coding RNA from Ostrinia nubilalis (European corn borer), 553 nucleotides. RefSeq lists it as uncharacterized. The record is from RefSeq and is a predicted model, not a curated record. The transcript has 3 exons. NCBI's taxonomy places the organism in Eukaryota, Metazoa, Arthropoda, Insecta, Lepidoptera, Crambidae.